This 1366-nucleotide long non-coding RNA is filed under the name Chlamydomonas reinhardtii. RNAcentral's name for it is "long non-coding RNA (CREI_LNC000762)". The record is from RNAcentral. Lineage: Eukaryota; Viridiplantae; Chlorophyta; Chlorophyceae; Chlamydomonadales; Chlamydomonadaceae.
CGGAUACAUCCGGGCCGACUAAACCUGGUGCGGGAUAAAGCCCGGCCAGAUAUAGUUGAGCCUGGGACCGCAUAUAGCCAUGGGAUCAUCCGGUGCAUCGCAGGCUAUCGCUGUCUUUGAGCUGAAUUGUUGCAGAGCGGUAGCUGGGGUUGAAACAACAUGGGGGUGUGCCCGAGCGGGGGGUUGUGCCGUAGGUCAUGCCUUGCAUGGGCCGACAUUAAGAGACAGGGCCAGACCUCCAAAACAUAACUUACUAUCAAUUCUACUCCACUAUACUUUGUGUAAGCUUGUAAUUGGGAACGGAUUGCCUGCCGAGUGGAUACAGUGUAGACUUGACAUCACUGGGCGGAAGAGACGACUAUAAUGCAGCUUAUGAACCAAAGCAAGCUGCUACAUCUAGUAGCUCUGCAAUGGUGCAUCAGCCUAUGUACUGGCUGAUAUAUAUAGCCAGGAGCAUUCAGGUUCUCGCGGUCAAAGCUUUUCCUGCGUCACGACCAAGCGCUUCCGGCGGCGUGUCUACUACUAGUCAGUGCACAAAGUAGUGAACUGCGAUCGUUAGCCUCUGAUCAAGCGCCGCUGUAACGUAGGAUACCGACGCUGCAUGGAAAGGAAUUUUACCCACACUCGCUGUGUGACUCAGUGACUGGCAAUGAUGCUACGCUGAGGUGAGCGUCUCCAUAGUUAGUCCGCUGGGGGUGGGGUCUGUACAAAUCCUGGCAGUGGUGAACGCCUCGGCGUGCUUCCCCCUUGUGGUGCCAGAGGCAGUUUCAUGACCGCACCCCACUUCUGGUCGUAUGUGCAGGAUCCAUCGUCGGGCCGUAUGGAUCAGAGUCGGCGUUGGUAUUGCUCAGAAGGUGGGCGACAAGGGGUGUUGGCAGGGUCUAUGUAAGGGUGCAUGCCGUGGUGUUUGCCAGAUGCAGUCCACAUGCGUGGCCCCUGCGUGCACACUGCAUGCUCUGGUUGUCUCCCUAGCACCGCAAUCAUGCAUACGUGCCUCUAAAUCCGGCGCUAUGUGUAUGUGCUCGCAGGGCACACCGCCGCGGCGCCCGAACCACUGUGUAGACAGCGCUAGAUGUAGGAUGGCUCUGUGGUGCUAGGAGCUGUGCUGGAUUGAUGUAGCGGUCAUGGUGGCAGUGUUACCAUCAGCAAAUACAGUAGGGUUGCACUAGUGCGUGGCGCCGCCACCUUGGGCGUGAUGGUCGCACGGGCUGCAGGGGCUCCCCUGGUUGGAGUCGCUAGAGCCUCCGUGCAGCCAUGUCAGGGACAGGCAUGUACGUGCAUGUAACGCGCAUCAGAGAACACGCGCACCCACACGAUCCACUCGCAGGGAGCGUGGGUUUAAGGGCCAGAUGUGUGUGCAAUAGCC